Molecule: ribosomal RNA, 371 nt
Filed under: uncultured bacterium
Lineage: Bacteria
Description: bacterial SSU rRNA
Rfam family: Bacterial small subunit ribosomal RNA
Source: RNAcentral
GUAGGGGGCAAACGUUACUCGGAAUUACUGGGCGUAAAGGGCGCGUAGGCGGCCUUGUAAGUCUCGUGUGAAAGCCCUCGGCUUAACUGAGGAUCUGCACGGGAUACUGCGAGGCUUGAGUUCGGGAGAGGAAAGCGGAAUUCUGGGUGUAGCGGUGAAAUGCGUAGAUAUCCGGAGGAACACCAGUGGCGAAGGCGGCUUUCUGGACCGACACUGACGCUGAGGCGCGAAAGCUAGGGGAGCAAACGGGAUUAGAUACCCCGGUAGUCCUAGCUGUAAACGAUGAUCGCUGGGUGUGGGGGGUUUUUACUCCCUCCGUGCCGAAGCUAACGCAUUAAGCGAUCCGCCUGGGGAGUACGGUCGCAAGGCUG